This 251-nucleotide ribosomal RNA is filed under the name uncultured prokaryote. RNAcentral describes it as "partial 16S rRNA". It matches the Rfam family "Bacterial small subunit ribosomal RNA", at positions 525 to 775 of the family's 1533-position model. The record is from RNAcentral.
ACGGAGGGUGCAAGCGUUGUUCGGAAUCACUGGGCGUAAAGGGCGCGCAGGCGGUUUGGUAAGUCAGAUGUGAAAGCCCACGGCUUAACCGUGGAAGUGCAUUUGAAACUGCCAGACUUGAGUAUCAGAGAGGAAAGUGGAAUUCCCGGUGUAGCGGUGAAAUGCGUAGAUAUCGGGAGGAAUACCGGUGGCGAAGGCAGCUUUCUGGCUGAAUACUGACGCUGAGGCGCGAAAGCGUGGGGAGCAAACAG